ACCAGAUAAGACAGCUGAAUGAUAUCGGGCUUGAAGACUCUACUUGACUAGCUGAGAGGAGGUGCAUGGCCGUCGUCAGUUCGUACUGUGAAGCAUCCUGUUAAGUCAGGCAACGAGCGAGACCCACGCCAACAGUUGCCAGCUCGUCCUCCGGGGAUGGUGGGGACACUGUUGGGACCGCCUCUGCUAAAGAGGAGGAAGGAAUGGGCAACGGUAGGUCAGCAUGCCCCGAAUUAUCUGGGCUACACGCGGGCUACAAUGGGUGGGACAAUGGGUAUCGACACCGAAAGGUGAAGGCAAUCUCCUAAACCCAUCCGUAGUUCGGAUUGUGGGCUGCAACUCGCCCACAUGAAGCUGGAACCUGUAGUAAUCGUGUCUCAAAAUGGCACGGUGAAUAUGUCCCUGCUCCUU
Molecule: ribosomal RNA, 411 nt
Filed under: uncultured Methanomicrobiales archaeon
Lineage: Archaea; Methanobacteriati; Methanobacteriota; Methanomicrobia; Methanomicrobiales
Description: bacterial SSU rRNA
Rfam family: Archaeal small subunit ribosomal RNA
Source: RNAcentral